This is a long non-coding RNA of Colossoma macropomum (tambaqui), 724 nucleotides long. RefSeq lists it as uncharacterized. Lineage: Eukaryota; Metazoa; Chordata; Actinopteri; Characiformes; Serrasalmidae. The transcript is spliced from 4 exons. The record is from RefSeq and is a predicted model, not a curated record.
UGCGUGUGUGUGUGUGUGUGUGUGUGUGUGUUUGUUUUUAUUACAUGGUGGGGGCCGCAACACGUUAGCACACUCACAGUGUGGGGACCGAAAACAUUGUGGGGACCAGUUUGCCGGUCCCCACAAUGUUUUCAGCCAAAAUGCGCCAGUUGACUCAGGAGACCAUGCUGAUAUAGGUGGUGCAGUUUUUUUUUUGGACCCCACCAUACGCAAAAACAUGAGAAGUGUGUAAAAGCGUGCUUACACACAUGCUCACCGAUGCCCCCGGCGGUAUCUUGGUGGUACUGCACCCUACCCUAAAAGUGUGCUUAGGAUGCGGACCGUAAGCACACUUUCACUACUGCGCCUGCGCAACCCUGAUACACGUCACUGAGUGCUGUGAACGCUGAAUUAAUCACUGCUACUACAAGGUGAAGCUAAAAUGGCGCCUGUAGUUUUUUCCGUUCUAUAUUGAAUGGAACGAAUGGGACUUGGAAGAACAAAAACUACACUUCCCAUAAUUCCCUCUGUCACGCCACGAAAGAGCUGAAGGAUAGCUGCACUCAAGAAGCACCGAUGUAAGAUACUCUCAGUUGCAGGAGGAGAAGAUAAAAUGAGACGGAGGAGGGUGAAACCACUUGAUGAAGCAGUUCAGCAUGUCACCAGUGCAACUGACAAGACUGAUGUAUUGGAGAGUAAAUUAGUAAACCCUUAUAAAGGUCGUGGUGUAUUUGCCCUGGCUUCU